GACGAACGCUGGCGGCGUGCUUAACACAUGCAAGUCGAACGGAAAGGCCCUGCUUUUGUGGGGUGCUCGAGUGGCGAACGGGUGAGUAACACGUGAGUAACCUGCCCUUGACUUUGGGAUAACUUCAGGAAACUGGGGCUAAUACCGGAUAGGAGCUCCUGCUGCAUGGUGGGGGUUGGAAAGUUUCGGCGGUUGGGGAUGGACUCGCGGCUUAUCAGCUUGUUGGUGGGGUAGUGGCUUACCAAGGCUUUGACGGGUAGCCGGCCUGAGAGGGUGACCGGCCAAAGGGGGAAGGGAAAACGGCCAAGACCCACAGGGGGGGGAGGGGGGGGAAAUAUGACAAAAGGGGGGGAAGCUGGAGGGAAAAACGCCGGGGGGGGGAGGAGGGCCUUGGGGUUGAAAACCGGUUUGGCGGGGGAAGAAGGGGGGGGGAGGGAAAUGGGGAAAAAAGCACCGGAUAAAUACGG
RNAcentral lists this ribosomal RNA (467 nucleotides) under uncultured bacterium. RNAcentral describes it as "partial 16S ribosomal RNA". It matches the Rfam family "Bacterial small subunit ribosomal RNA", at positions 28 to 506 of the family's 1533-position model. The record is from RNAcentral.